RNAcentral lists this ribosomal RNA (619 nucleotides) under Aphanomyces laevis. RNAcentral describes it as "LSU rRNA". It matches the Rfam family "Eukaryotic large subunit ribosomal RNA", at positions 80 to 628 of the family's 3401-position model. Lineage: Eukaryota; Oomycota; Saprolegniomycetes; Saprolegniales; Verrucalvaceae. The record is from RNAcentral.
UCAGUAACGGCGAGUGAAGCGGGAAGAGCUCAAGCUUAAAAUCUCCACGCAAGUGGCGAAUUGUAGUCUAUUGAAGCUGUUGUCAGCAUAGCGACUUGGGAAAAGUCCCUUGGAAGAGGGCAGCAUAGAGGGUGAUACUCCCGUCUUUGCCCAAGUUGUCUGUGUGUACGAAACGCUUUCUUUGAGUCGAGUUGUUUGGGAAUACAGCUCAAAGUAGGUGGUAAAUUCCAUCUAAAGCUAAAUAUUGGUGCGAGACCGAUAGCGAACAAGUACCGUGAGGGAAAGAUGAAAAGAACUUYGAAAAGAGAGUUAAAGAGUACCUGAAACUGUUGAAAGGGAACCGUAUCGUGUCUAGUGUGUAUCCUGUGCAUAUUUCACUGGCGGUCGCAAGAUUGCUGGUGCCCUGUGCAUGGGUGUGACGUCAGAGUCAGUUUGUGCUGCGGGAGAUGGCUAGUGAGGAGGUGCGUCCCUYYUGGGAAAGUUACAGCUCGCUAGCUAGUAGCCGUGGCGUAGACUGAGGUGCCUACAACACGCUCUGGGGUCUUUUGUUGUCUCGUGUGGGUUGUUGCCUGGAUAGCUUGCUAUGCUGGUGAUAAUGUAUGCGAUNNGAUGGCAGGAG